RNAcentral lists this ribosomal RNA (247 nucleotides) under uncultured bacterium. RNAcentral describes it as "partial 16S ribosomal RNA". It matches the Rfam family "Bacterial small subunit ribosomal RNA", at positions 86 to 334 of the family's 1533-position model. The record is from RNAcentral.
AGAUGGCGACCGGCGCACGGGUGAGUAACACGUAUCCAACCUGCCGAUAACUCGGGGAUAGCCUUUCGAAAGAAAGAUUAAUACCCGAUGGCAUAAUAGAACCGCAUGGUUUGAUUAUUAAAGAAUUUCGGUUAUCGAUGGGGAUGCGUUCCAUUAGGCAGUUGGUGGGGUAACGGCCCACCAAACCUUCGAUGGAUAGGGGUUCUGAGAGGAAGGUCCCCCACACCGGAACUGAGACACGGUCCAG